Molecule: ribosomal RNA, 492 nt
Filed under: uncultured bacterium
Lineage: Bacteria
Description: bacterial SSU rRNA
Rfam family: Bacterial small subunit ribosomal RNA
Source: RNAcentral
GAUGAACGCUAGCGGCAGGCUUAACACAUGCAAGUCGAGGGGCAGCAUGACGGAACCUUCGGGUUUUGUCGAUGGCGACCGGCGCAAGGGUGCGUAACGCGUGAGCAACUUGCCCGUUUCAGGGGGGAUAACCGGUGGAAACGCCGACUAAUACCCCAUGGCAUUGAGUUGAGGCAUCUCUACUCAAUUAAAGAAUUUCGGAUAAGGAUAGGCUCGCGUGACAUUAGCUAGACGGCGGGGUAACGGCCCACCAAGGCUUCGAUGGAUAGGGGUUCUGAGAGGAAGGUCCCCCACACUGGAACUGAGACACGGUCCAGACUCCUACGGGAGGCAGCAGUGAGGAAUAUUGGUCAAUGGUCGGAAGACUGAACCAGCCAAGUAGCGUGAAGGAUGAAGGUUCUAUGGAUUGUAAACUUCUUUUGUAUGGGAAUAAAGCCCGCUACGUGUAGCGGUUUGUAUGUACCAUACGAAUAAGCAUCGGCUAACUCCGUG